This 66-nucleotide transfer RNA is filed under the name Haplothrips aculeatus. RNAcentral describes it as "tRNA-Val". Lineage: Eukaryota; Metazoa; Arthropoda; Insecta; Thysanoptera; Phlaeothripidae. The record is from RNAcentral.
AUAAUUAUAGUUUUUAAUAAAAUAUUUCUUUUACAAAGAAAAGAUAAAUUAUAUUUUUUAAUUAUA